AGAGCUUUGCCACCUGUUUUCAGGCUGCCUCUGCCUCCAAACCCUGCGGAGCCCUCCCUGCCCCGUGCUUUGAAGCAGUUUCUUUGGAAGCUGCUGCACAGGGGUUAACAACAAGCAACAACUCAGGUCGCAUUCUUGUCAACGGAAGGGAGGGCCAGGUGGAACCGCCAAGGGGGCCAUUUCUGGCUUUGCUGGAGGCUGUCAGCUUCUGGUGGGAGCCACAGCCUGAGGGCAGCCAGGAUGGCUCUGCUGGGAGGGACACCCUGCCCAACCCUGGGAGCAGGUGACGAAGGCUCCUGGAGGCAUGGUCACAUCCCUGGGUCCCAGAGGCAGGAACAAAGCCCCCAGGGCAGGUGGGUGAAGGCUGCUGGGGGUCGGAGGGGAAGCCUUGCUGCCCAGGAGCUCAGGCCGGGCUGAAAAGGGCAAUGCCACAGAACCCCUGGAAGGAGCAGGACAGCAGACAGUGUUCCAGAUGAGACUGCAGAGGGCCGGGGAGCCAAGUACCAAGGGGACGUCAGGAGGGGCCAUGAGGCCUCCUCUGAAAGCCACUGUGGCACCAGCAUUUGCGAAGGGCCUGAAUGACUCCUCUUUUAAUGGACAGGCAUCCAAGGGCUUCCGGAGAGCCACAGAAAACCUGGCGUGGAGGUUGCUGCUUGCCUUCUAGGAAUGAUCUUGGAUGUGCUGGUGGCAAUUCCCCCUCCCUUUGGUGAUCCCCCUCACAUCUGCCCCAAGCGACUUCUCCAGGGCCAGCCUUAGGAGGCAGAGAGAUCCCGCUCUGGACUGCUGUCCCAGGCCCUGAGGGUGCCAUGGGUUACAUGUGUGUUUACAUGAGUCUAUGAGUUGAAUCCCCAUAAGCCUGGGGGAAGCACCAUGUCUGAAGCAGCAGCUGCAUUUGUAAGAUGAAGAUCUGAGCCAGUUUUUCAUUAUAUCUGCAGUGUUCAUCAAGAAAGGGCCUCCGGGUUUGUGUUUACUGGACAUGAAUUGAGCUGCUCUCCAGAGAUAAGAAAAAAAUAUUACAGCCCUGCUAUGUGGGCACCCCACGGCAGCCCCCGGGGUUAAGGGGCAGCUUUCUUUCCAAGGAAUCCCAUUGCCAAAGAUGAACCUUCAGAUGGGGAAACUGAGGACCCAGAGGAAGCAAGAGCAGCCCCAGGCCACACAACCCUCUUUUUAUUAUUCAUUCACUGACUACACUGCAGAGGUUGGACCCAUAUCUCAUUAUUUGAAUAGUAAAUUGUUUUUUCUUCCUGACCCUUGGUCUGUUGGGUCUCUCAUUGCGCCAUGCAUCCAAGAAAGAACGUUCUGAAGCUUUCCAGUGCCACCCAAUCCCUGUAUCCUACUUUAUGCUUGAAAGUAAAGCUCACGGGUUUUUUUCUACUUCGGGUUGUUUAAAUAACCACAAUCGGUCGGGAGCGGUGGCUCACGCCUGUAAUCCCAGCACUUUGGGAGGCCGAGGCGGGUGGAUCACCUGAGGUCAGGAGUUAGAGACUAGCCUGGCCAACAUGGUGAAACCCCGUCUCUACGAAAUAUACAAAAAUUAGCCGGGCGUGGUGGCGGGCCCCUGUAAUCCCAACUACUGGGGAGGCUGAGGCUUGAACCCGGGAGGCGGAGGUUGCAGUGAGCCGAGAUUGCGCCAUUGCACUCCAGCCUGGGCGACAAGA
RNAcentral lists this long non-coding RNA (1658 nucleotides) under Homo sapiens (human). Its description in RNAcentral is "HSALNT0304257". The record is from RNAcentral. Lineage: Eukaryota; Metazoa; Chordata; Mammalia; Primates; Hominidae.